This 502-nucleotide ribosomal RNA is filed under the name Telescopium telescopium. RNAcentral's name for it is "partial 16S ribosomal RNA". It matches the Rfam family "Bacterial large subunit ribosomal RNA", at positions 1817 to 2597 of the family's 2925-position model. The record is from RNAcentral. Lineage: Eukaryota; Metazoa; Mollusca; Gastropoda; Potamididae.
UGCUCUCUGUUUCUUUUCAUAGAGAGUUGAGCCUGCCCAGUGAAAUUUUAACGGCCGCGGUACUCUGACCGUGCAAAGGUAGCAUAAUCAUUUGCCUUAUAAUUGAAGGCUAGUAUGAAUGGUUUGACGAAAGCAGAUCUGUCUCCCCUUUACCUCCUAGAAUUUGACUUUUAGGUGAAGAGGCCUAAAUAAUAUUGAAGGACAAGAAGACCCUGUCGAGCUUAAAAGAAUAAGUAGAAGUUAAUAUAUCUAUAAAUAAAUAAUCUACUAAGCUUUUUAGUUGGGGCGACUGAGGAACAGGUAGAGCUUCUUUGGUAAAAGAAACCAACAAGUUUAGAUCCAGUAGAAAUUUGAUCAAAGAAAUUAGUUACCGCAGGGAUAACAGCAUAAUCUUCCUUGAGAGACCUAAUCGAAAGGAGGGGUUGUGACCUCGAUGUUGGACUAGAAUAUCCUAAAGAUGCAGAAGUCUUUGAGGGUUGGUCUGUUCGACCAUUAAAAUUCU